UACGGUGGAUGCGAGCGUUAUCCGGAUUUAUUGGGUUUAAAGGGAGCGUAGGUGGAUUGUUAAGUCAGCUGUGAAAGUCCGCGGCUCAACCGUGGAAUUGCAGUUGAAACUGGAGGCCUUGAGUGCACACAGGGGUGCCGGAAUUCAUGGUGUAGCGGUGAAAUGCAUAGAUAUCACGCAGAACGCCGAUUGCGAAGGCAGCAUACCGGCGCCCAACUGACGCUGAGGCACGAAAGCGUGGGGAUCGAACAGG
RNAcentral lists this ribosomal RNA (253 nucleotides) under uncultured Prevotellaceae bacterium. Its description in RNAcentral is "partial 16S ribosomal RNA". It matches the Rfam family "Bacterial small subunit ribosomal RNA", at positions 524 to 776 of the family's 1533-position model. Lineage: Bacteria; Pseudomonadati; Bacteroidota; Bacteroidia; Bacteroidales; Prevotellaceae. The record is from RNAcentral.